Long non-coding RNA from Falco peregrinus (peregrine falcon), 12944 nucleotides. RefSeq lists it as uncharacterized. NCBI's taxonomy places the organism in Eukaryota, Metazoa, Chordata, Aves, Falconiformes, Falconidae. The record is from RefSeq and is a predicted model, not a curated record. The transcript is spliced from 3 exons.
ACCCGCUCUUGGCCUCUCCUCCCACCGCGGCGCAGGGCCGGUGGCAGCCGCAGCAGCCAGGCGGGGGAAGGCACGGAGGGCAUGGUCCCCGUGUGGGUCACCCGGUGUUACCUGGAGGCCCUCAGGGUUGUUUGUAACAUGGGAGCCGCCUCCUCGGUCCCCCCGGCAGCACUCCUCGAAGCUGUCCCAGAGGGAACGUGAACCCCAUGCGUGGAGGUGCAUGUUCCGCUCCUUGUCUCUUCAGGCCCUUGCUUCUCUUUUCCUGGCGGUGAUCUGGAGGACUAGUGACUCUGUACAAAUUAACUUCAAUUCUAUUUAGCAUCUUUUUAGUGUAGUGGCCAGUAACUGCCCUAUUUGUGAAAGCUAGAGAGCUGUGCCUUCCUAAAGCCUUUCUUGGGCGUUAUGAAGCAAUCAACAGGUUCCUCGUCUCCUUGGUUCCUGCGAACCUUCUGGUUCAAGACCUGGUGGUAACAGUACUCUGGCAUAAGUAAUAUUUUUAUCAGGGGAUAAACAGUUUGCUUGUUCUUUAGACCAUGUGUGUUUGACUUGGAUUCAUCGGGGAUUCCUCUGUCCCCCCUUGUCUGCCAUCCUGCCUCUUUAGGUAUGUUAUAGGCUCCAGUACUCCUUUUCCUGCAGGUUUGGACCUCUUACUUUACCCAGGACCUCGUUAAUCCCCCCCCCCCCCCCCCCCUUCCUACUUGUGCUGAUGGAUCUUGGUGCCCUCCUUUUCCUGGUUACCCUUAUCCUCUGCCUUCCCCCAUUUCUCUUUAAUCUUUCAGGGUGUGAACAUUUUUUAAAGUCUUCAAGGAGAUCAGGGGAAGCUUUACAGGAAUUUGGCACGUUGGUGGAAGCUGCCAAGCAGGCACUGUCUGUUGGGAGCUGGGGCACUCCCCAAGACGGUGGAACUGGUGGAUUGUGGCCUUUGAAAGGCAGCACACCAGAAAAAUGCUGUGGAGACUGGGCCAAAGAGGAUGUCUACAGUAAAUGAGGUCUCCGGGAAAGCUACUGAGUGCAGAAUGCUGCAGUGAGGAGUUGGUGUCGCUGGGGGCUCGCAAAGUGCCUGCGGUUUGUUGCAAGGGUAAAGGAGUCCCUUCAGCGCCUCGUUGCUGCCCUAGGAUGGAGCAUCCCAUCCUCUGCAGAUGGUCUUGCCUUUGUUUCUAAGAAUUUGAUUUUCUGCGUGGUCUGUUGCCUGCCUGGACUCUGAGCUUUCGGGCAUCUGUAUGCUUCCUGCCACUUUUCCUUUGGUCUGUUGCCAGCGGCACGCCGUGGGUGACACAGGGGGUGAAUGUCAGAAAGCCAUACCUAACGCUUAACGCUAGGGCUGGCAUCAUGGUCCUUGGCCUGGCGUCGGCAGCACUCUACACCAGCAGAGACCCUUCUCUUGGCCCUGUUGAAUUCAAAAGCUCAGCACCUCCAGUGAGUGCUGGCAGCCUGUAGGCUGCCUGUGCUGCCUGGGGCCAGCUGGGACAGUGAGGAUGAGAGGACACAGUGUCCCUAUUCCCAGCGUACCCUCCUAUCCCAUCUAUUUCUCCCUGGCUCCCAGCUGUCCUGCUUUCCAUUUUUUCCACUGCAGGCAAUUAAAGAAAUCCUGAAAAGAAACACAAGGUUAUUUCCCAUGAGGUCACCCCUGAAAGAAAGAGGAGUCCUGUGUGGAUACAUGUGUCGCGGGUGCCAAGCUGACAUUUAGGCUCGGAAACAAGCUCCAUGCAGGCUGAACGCACGUGCCUGUAAAUGUCCACUUUGCAGAGCCAGGAUCUCCUGCUCCCAGGGGGACCCACUGGAAACCCAUCUAUAACCUGUAUCACCAGGGUGGCUCAGUGCUUGCCAGAUUUAAGCGCAAGUUACCUCAAACCAUUCUGGAGUCAAAAUACCACGUUACAGAUAGAAAUCUGCGACAAAAACAACUGAAUAAUUUGCCUUGUGUUGGGAGGAAAACGUGGCCAUAAAAAGCAAGUCCUUUGAGUGGGGGAGGACAAGGAUGAAGGAGCAAUAGGAGGGAGAGGAUGGUGACGUGCACAAAGGCCAGAGGGAGGAACUGCUGCAGGUGGCAAGAGGUUGGCACGGCCACCAGGGCUUGCAGAUGGGGGGAUUUGGUGAUCUCCUCGUGUUUCUCAAAGCAGUGCUGUUCUGAAAGGGUUACCUCAGUUUUCUGAGCUUAGAGCGUGUGAAACACAGAUGCAUGACGAGCAGAGAGAGAAGGAAAAAAUAUUUCAGAAGCCAAGAAAAUAACAAAUGGAGGAAUCAAGCCUAAAUCUUGUGUUGUGGGAGGGUGAGCAGGGCAAGGAUGCUGGGGAAUAGGAAGAAGUAGUUAAGGGGAGGGAGGGAAGGAGGAAGAGAGUGAGAGGUGAUGUGAUAGAAAUGAGCAGAGGUGGAACAAGGAAAGAUGCUCACAGUGAAUUUAUUUGAAUGUCCAUUGAAAUGUUACCCUGGAAUAAAACCCCAGUUCCUGUGAAGUUGCGAAGACUGGGACUGCAGGCUCCCUCCUGGGGGGACUUGGCUGCUGCCAAGCAGCGUUACUGUUGAGAUAUAUUUUAGAAUAUACCAUGCCACAGCAGGUGUGUGCAAUUAGAGGAGAGCUCUCCAAAAUAGCAGGCGGCUGUCAAUUUUUUAGCAAAUGGUGUUGCCCUUUUUUUUCUUUGUCCAACUGUAUUAGAAAUUUAUUCUAAUAUGCAUCAUCUUUACAAAAGCAUUUUCAAAGGACCUGUUAUUUUUACCCUUCUGUUACUUUUUGUGACCAGACAAGGAGCAGAAGGCUAAUCCCGUGGCCACUGUGGGUGGGUUUUGUUCCACUGAAGGAAGUUAAUGAACUCUAACAAACGAGAAAGUUUCAGGAAACCUUCCACUCUGAAAGCAGAGUGCAGAUUUCCUCCUGGCUGGAAUUUAACCAAAUUAAAAUGAUUACUACCUUCGCAAAAUAUUACUAUUGCAGUCAUUUCCCUUUUUAUAGUGCUUCACGAAUGUAUGACACCUCAGAAUACUCCUGUAUGUUAAGUUUGCAUUUUCAUCCUGAUUUUCUUGAAGAGGAAACUGAGUCACGGUGAGUUUCAUAGUUUGACCAAGCCAUGCAGUCAUUUUGUGGCUGAAGCAUUGGUAAGGUGUGUGACCAGCUAUCAUGAUUAGAUUUUUGUUCCACGACAUGUAUAGAAAGGAAAUACUGUUUAAAAAAUACCUGCCAAAGAAACUAUUUAGCCUGAUGAGCUCCAGUAUUUUAUGUUUAUUGGAUUAGGUGAACACCUCCCUGAACAAAGGGCUGUAGCUGUGGUGUGAAUCGGAGAUUUACCAUAAAAUGUCUGCCUAGUAGAGACACAAAUAGCAUUUGGACACCCCUUAAGUAGGUGAGCUUUUCCCCUCUGAAUGGUAGGGGUCAGAAAAUAGACUUACAUUGCCUUGGCUUCUUUGGUUCCUUCCCGAGGGCUUUUUGCUCAGCAAGGGGACUGGGCUGGGCUGGACACAUUCUCCCACAGCUCUACACCGCACAGGCUGCAGCUGCUCUGGGAAGCUGGCAGUGAUGCUGGCUGCCGGAGGAGCGUGGUGGCAUAACCAGGCUGGUGUGACUGCCCAAAGAGCCACAAGCAGCUCACGGCAAGCACGGUAUCUCCGUGCCCUGCUCUUGUGGGGCAUGUGCCUCUUUGGGGAAGCUCCAUGGAGUGCACGGAAUACGUCUUAAUGGCCAGGUACUUUGCUUGCCAGAGCGGCUUUUUGGUGGAGUGUCUGCUGCUCUGCUCUAGCACAAAAUGUUUUCCUACCCUUCCAACUACCCCUUCCACCCCAAAAUGUUUCCAUGGCUGGCGCUCUGAGUCCAAUUCAGGUGCUUUCGCUCUGGUCCCUUGAAGUGACGACGGCUAGCACAGCCUCAGGUGUUGUAAGUGGCAGGUCUCCACUCUUGCAACGUGGGCAAGAAUACGCGCAGCAUUCAUGUUCAGAGUCACAGGACGCUUUACCCUGCAGCCAGAACAGCUUUCACCAUUCUGACUGUAGAGCUAACGGUGAUGUCUCUGUGUCCUGCAAGGAUGGGUGACCAUGGUGGCUAUUAUAAACUAGUCAGUCUGGGCACGCAAACUGUAUUGUGUUUGCAAAGUGCAGAAAUUUAUUUAUAAAUUGUUCGAGUGUGCUGUGUUCUUUCCUGUGGAGCUGUAUCGCUCUUGUGUACUCCAGUCUGUCUGUUGUUGUGAACCUUGUAGCCAGCUGCUUUGUGAGCAAGGCGCCUGGGGAAAUGGAAAGAAUGUUUCCACUCCUAAUUUCUGUGAUCCUUUGGGGUGGAAUCAGCAAGAAUACACUCCUAAAUGCCACUGGAGACCAAGCCCCUCCCUCAAGGCACCAUUCCUGGUACGGCAUACAGAUCUAUGCAUCUCGUCUCCUUUUCUGCAUGCUUUCACAUCAGCAGUUUACCUUCCAGCAGUGAAAUGGUCUGUCGAUACUUGCAGGUCAUAUUUUUAUUUCUGAAUUGCUGCAGGUUAUGUGGGACAGUCCUGGAAGUCAAGUCAUGGCAUUUAGAGUUGGUGUCAUGAGGACAUUUUCAAAGAUUUUCUUCGGUGGAUUUUAGAAACAGGGUAUCGAGGAGUCAGUUGUUUCAUGUCCCUUUUGCCUAGGGCGGCAUGAUUUUCCCUAUCUUUUCCUUUUAAAUUCCAAGUGUGGGCAUUUGGUCAUUGUCGGUGUGGUAGCAAGAGAGCUGGAAGCCGGCUGUGCGCUGUGGGCAACACACCGAUUGUGUGAAGGUUCAUCCCCUGCCCUGUAAUCUAGCACAGAAGAUGCACUCCCUGCCUUCUGUUUUUCUUUUGUCCAAACUUUGUCAUCCUAAACUGGAUGAUGCCUACAGCCAUCUGCUGCAUUUGGUAGUCUGCGGCAUCAUGCCGACUCAAUUAUGCGCCUCUCUGGGAUAACAGCAGGCCAGUUUUCUCUUCAACUUUGAAAGAGUGCUUUUCCUGCGCAAAGGAAGGCUGGAGUAAGAAGGAACCUCCAGAAACAAGCUGGAUAAGCUGUUGUCGGGUGCACUCUUCAUGUCUGCAUGGUGGAGCUGUUUGGGUGCAGUGGGAGAGCUGCCAGUGUUUGAGAUGCUGCGUCCUGCUCUGAUGCGGUGGCAGACAUGCUUCCCUGUGGCAGCAUUUAACCAUUUGGUGCUUUUAAUCUUUACCACCUCCUUUGCUUUUUGUGAAUAUGCAUUACACCAAGUGGUUUGAAAUUAAAGGAGAUGGUAGAAGUGUAAAUGAUAGUCGCUUUUUUCUAAGCGCCCAGGGUAAGAGAGCUACGGGGAGAUCACGCUGAGCCUUACAGUGGCUUCCUAGCAAAGUUGUUCUGUUAUGCUUUUUCAUACCUACGCAGAAGUGCCCAAGCAGUAGAAUUUAUGUGUGUGAUACACCCUGCGACCUCAGUCUUCUUCCUGUGGUGGGCUGGGGAGGCAUAACUGGAAUCUGGGGUAAGAUGUAAUCCUCUUAUUUUGCUGCAGGCUCAGGAUAAAUUUUAAGGCUCCAGGGCUGCUUCCAGUUUUCUUCUUUGUCUUCCCUGCGGGUGGUGGACCUGAUGGGUUUCAACAUGCCGUCAUCCAGGCUUGCCGUUUCAGUCCUUCUGAGCUGUCCGUAGUGCCCUGAGCCAUUUUCCCCUGCAGUAUAUACUCAUCUUUGUUAUAUGAGGAUAGGGGUCAGAUCAAGUGGUGGGGAGCUAGAGGAGAGGACAUAAACGUCUCGGGGACCAGUGCUAUUUACAUUCAAGAUGUUUCUGGCCCCACCAGCUGUUCCAUGUGUGUUAUUUUCAGAAGGGCAAUAAUCCAUGGGAGGUCAGGAGGGUGGAAUUGUGUGAAUACGUCGGGUGAAGGAGAUCAAGACGCUUGGAAGUCCUCAGGCCUUGUCAUGACAGAGAGUCAGGAUCCCAGAUGAUUGUGGCUUGCAGACUGGGAGAACUCAAGGAAAGCUCUGAAUGUGCUGCUUGAAUGGCUAGGAAAGGCUGCUUAGCCGGGUGUUUGUUAGCUGUUUUCAAGAGUCGUCUAUGUUUACACUGCUGGCAGGACCACCUGUUCUUUUUCGAACAAUAAUAUGUAUAUAUAUGUGUGUGUGUAUAUAUUGCUGCAUUUCUGCAUUUAUUUUUAGCCCUUUCUAAAAACUCCUGACAGGUUUGAAAGAUGCUGUGGAUCGAGAGUGGUGCCUGGCGGCAUUGCUCACAUUGACGGUUGUCAGAAUUUCCAUGAUAAAUCCCUGCUUUGAAAGGCUUAUAACUCGUCCUUCUAUUCUCGGUCCUGCAGCUUUCAUAUCCUGGGAAAAAAAGCCACUUUUUUAAAAACUGCAUCUUCCCCAAAGGUUUGUGAAAUUCAGUUCUGUUGGCCUAAACCGGAACUUUCUCAAAGCAGACGUUGAGUCUUGUCACUUUCUUUUUCAGUGCCUAAUUGCAAAUGUGUGGCAGGUCUCUUUAAUACGUUUCAUAUGGUCAAAUGGAAAAACUGUUUUGCAUAUCAGACUGACACAGACACUGGAUGGUGUAAAUCAGUAGGGAGCCAACACCACUUUGCUCCCCUCCACCAGCUAUGAGGAAGCACAAAACCAGCUGAAUUAUGGCAGAGGCUGGGCAGUCUCCAGAUCGGGUCUGAUACCGGUUGCAGAACUGUAGGGCGAAUGCCCUUUGUGCCAACUACUAGCAGACAGUUGAGGCGUACCGUGGGUCUUUUACAUUCAUAAACAAAGGACAUGCAUAUUGCUAUUACGUGCAAUCAGCAAGAGAAAUCCAUUACAAAUCAGCAGCUGAUGAUUUGAAUGAAGAAAUACAUAGUUAUCCUGUUUUAACUUUGUGGUUCACAUGUCCAUAGUGUCUUCCAUCCAUGCAGUGCAAAGCAGGUCAUAGUUGCUAAUCUGUGCCAUUCCCCAGUGAAGUCGUACAGGCAUCGUUGUGAUUUCUGGUGUACACCCAGGAGAGACGGUGUUGUGAGGAGAUGUAAUGAUGUGCCCCGGUGAUGCCGGGAAUCCAUGGCAAAACAGAGCACAGCACCUGGGAACCCGAGUCGUGCAACAGUGCUGGAAGGACCGAGCUGCAUCUCUUCUGAGAGUUUUCACUGUUUUUGAAAGCCGUUGAAGUGUUAGCUGCAAAUAGUACAUUUGUAUGCAGCAGGUAGGGGCUAAUUCAAAACAUGAAGGUAAUGAACUUGAAACUGGGUCCUGACACACGAUGAGCGUUGUGGAGGGAGAGCUGGGAACCUGAGCUGAAUGGAAGUCCGUGUAAUUUCACAUGCAGUGUUCAGUAGGCCAUUCAAACUCAGAUUAUCUUUUGGCGGAUGGGGAUAAUGCUUAUUCCCUGCCUCACCAGGAAGGCUGUGAGAUAGCAAAGCACAUGCAGAAGGCUUUGUAUAUGCAAGAGCUCAGCUGUUUUUUGAACUGUAUUAGUAGCUGCUUGACUGACGUAUGUGACCUUUCCUUCAGGUCUUGCCUGACAGUUCUGGACCCUCAUGGCUACAACAACACUGCUAUUACAAAAAGGAGAUAGUCCUGUGUUGCUUUUGUGCAUGUUGCAUUGGGUGCACACACAGUGCCAUAUCUGUGUUUUACUGUCACUCCAGACAUGGAGUUUAAACUUUUUUUUUAUCCUGAUUUGUCCUCUUCUGCAACUGAUUUUCCUGUGGACACAAAGGUGGGUUUUUUUUCUGGUUCCCCUGCCCAUCUCUUGUCUAUCUGAGGGCAUGCAUUCCUGUAGGAGCUUGGCACCUCCCUAGCAGGAGGCAAGGGCCACUAUGUUCAUUUUCCAGAUGGGAAUUUCAGGCAGAGAAAGGCUUGGGUGACUUGCCUGCUGUCAGACACAAAACUUGCUGGAGUAGGAACCCAAGGGCGCUCCAAAUUUCAGACUGGUGCCUGAGCUGCUUGUCCAGACUCAGUGUUAUCUUUUGUUGCCAUUCUGAUCCCAGCUGGCUGUCAGCUGUACCAGCCAGGGCUCCGUGGGUAUUUAUGCUGCUGCCAGUUCUCAUGUCUCAAUUGGGAGUCAUUUAACGCGGGUGACUGAGAUUCCUUGAGAGGAAGAAUGUGAAGUAUCCCAAGCAAUGGUAUGGUUAACAUCGGUUUUGUCGUAAGACUAUUUUUUAGUAUUUAUUUUAAGGAUUGGUGACACACAUGAGUUUUCCUACGGCUUCAAUAUCUGUGGUUUCAGCCAUGAAAAAGGGUCAGAGGCAAAACCGUGUUGGCAUAGGAGUUUAAUAUCCUCCCCUUGUAAGAUAAUAGAAUAAAUCGGAAGAGAAACAUAUGAUUUAAAAUCUUUAGUGAUAGUGAGAUGGUAAGAAAGGGACAGCACAACAUUUUUCGUAAUGCAUUUGGCAUUUCUGAAGAACGAUUCCUGGUAAAACGUGAUUGCAAGUCAACAGAGUCAGCAAAUGAAUCAGGGAAGGGAAUGUGGCACGUCGCCCUUAGUAAAAAACCGUUACAUGUUCUCUUACUCUCAAUUACCCUAAUUUGAAGUGGGGAGCUAAUGAAUAUUGCUAAAUGGAUUGAAACAAACAGCAGCACUGUGGACAAAAAAUAAUCAUUAUGAACUGCAGUGUAUUGACCACAGUGAAUUUUUCACAGAUUUGUAGGUUUUAAUGCUGGGUUGUCUGGUCUGACUGUCUGCUUAGUGUAGGGGAAAGGACCUGAACCCAUAAUUUCUGAUGGGGUCAGUAACUUCUAUUAGCAGUGAUACCUUUUUAAACCCCACUGCAACAAUUAGAAAUUACCUCAUCCCUAGACUGUGCUUUUCAAUUGUUAAUUAAAAUAAUAGUUCUCAGUAUAAGAGGGCUUCUGUUAGAAGAGCAUCAGUUGUCAGAGAUGUUGUCACUGUUGCUAGUACUUAUGUAUUAGGAUUAAAAUGCUUCUUACCUUGUCUUGGUAGGUGACAUAGAGCAAGCUGUAGACUCCCAUUGCAGGCCAGCACGUGGUGCAGAGGUGCUGGGGGUAACGUCGGAGCUGGCAUUGUGUGCAAGCACGGAGCAGCCAGGCCCGGCCGUGUUUGGGUUUCUGGGUCUGGGAUGGUAUGGCUGUGUGAUGUUGUGAUGCGAUGCAUGUAUGUCUGUGCCCUGCAGCCUUGCUGCUUGCUUCGAAAGAUGCGCAGGGUGGUGGCAGCUGUGAUGUAGGUCGUGGGGAGGAGUGCUUUGGAAAGCUGUAGCCUAUUUGCACCAUAGGAAGCAGGCUGUUCACCUUAGCCCUGAGUACACCUUAGGAGAGGGAAAGGGCUAAAGUGUCUCAGUGUUUUCCCUUUGAUGGUCUCUUCAAGCUCUCGGGUACCUCACUGUGCUGGGAGUGGUGAUGUGCUUGUGUGGUCAGAGUUAUCCGUCAGGAAUCAGUGAGGAUUAUUCUGAGUUCUCUUUCAUUUAAUGAAUGUCUUUGUUGUUGAUUUAGGGCUGGGCACUUUAACGAACUUUUCAGAAAGUCCUCAAAUUUGGCAUUUCUCUGGAAAUGCCAACGAUGAAAUGAAUCUGAAGAAACUAGUAAUAUGGAGAGGAAAGUGUAACUGUAUCCUAAGAAAAUACAAGACCACAGAGGGGAAAAAAUAAUCCAAAGCCUAAUUACAGAUGAAAAAACGGUGAGAAAAGAGUUCUCAUGAACUGUGAGAGGAAAAUGAAUGGCAAAAAAAUCCAUUUUUCAGUGAAAUACCAGCUACCACAUAUGUUUUUGGGUUGACAGUGCAUGUUAUACAGCGAAGGUGAUGGUAAUUUCUGCUAUGCAUGUGUACCUAAGUGCUCUCUUGAAUCUGGGCUGAAAUGGAAGAAAAGCAAGGUGGGAACUGAACAUGGCUUCAUUGGACUACGUGAUUUAGCGAUGGCUAAUUUUAGACACUUGUUUCUGAAAUGUCUUGCCCGUAGCCUGGCACCCAUCAAACUGGUUCUGUCAGGAACACUUUUCAACCUCAAACUUUGUUCCCAGGCUGAAGAGCUGGCCCAACAUUUACUUAAAAAACAAACCCAAAGAAAUAGCAGCAGUUUUCUGACCUCAGGCUUGCCUCUCCCUGCUGAUCUGAUUCCCUUUUAAGGGUAGGAGCUGGUGGCUAACAUGAUUUCUGGUGAAACCCUGCGUGUAGCUGGAUAUGAGAAUGCUGGGUUUUGCUGGGGCUGCUGUCAGAAAUGUCAUGCCCUACCAGCCUGUAUCCAGUUUCUAGAAAAAUCUCUCGAUGGUGCCUUUUGCUUUCGUUAUGUUAUCAUAUAGCUGACCGUUGCCGACAUGCCUUUUUAGGGUUAGGUUCAUGUCCAACACGAACAAGAAAAUUUAACUCUUGUGUGGGUCCCUAACAGUUCAUUCUGAUGCCUGGCUUGGCCCCAUCUGUCUUAGCCCUUCCCAUCAAAAUUAACCGUACUAUAAAGAGGGGCUCCUGCACGUGAAUAAUGGCUCACAAACCCCAGCCUGAGCACCUUGCUGCUGUGGUCCAGCCCCAGGAGAUGGAGAUGUCCUCUCAAAAAAUAACAGUGGUCUGCAGGGGGCUUGCUCUUUCUCUUACAAAUGUUGCAGUGGGGCGGUUGACUCACAGGAGCUUGUCAUGGGCCAGCCAAAUGGAGUUUGUAAUAAAGAAAUGAAAAAAAAAAAAAAAAAGUGGCUAAUCUGUUGAUAAAAUGUAGCCACCUCGAGUGAUAAAAAUGGCUUAAUGUAGCAGCCCUACAGGCCUUGGGCCAGAAAUAAUUUUAAAGGAAUACGUAAAUAUUGCAGCUUUUCUGAGUUUUGCUUCCUGGCUUGCUCUGGGGGAAUGCUUUUUGAGAGAAAAUGUGGUGUGAUUGCUUUUAUUCAUCCAGAGACCAGUGAUUUUGCCCUAAUAGGUAGGCUACAAAGCCCAGCGUCACAAACUGCAUUUGAGGACGAGGAGCAUGUUUUAUGCCGGCGCCGUAGUGCCUUCAUAGUGCUUUUGCUACGUUUGUGCCUGGGAAGCGAGGGGCUUGUAAGGGGGCGAUGAAACCCUCUGUGUGGGAGCGUGCAAUGGUGGAAAGUGUUCACGUGGAGAAACUGCUGAAGGACUUGAACCUUCCCGUAGAAGCUUCACGAGCAGCUGAGGAAGCAGGGUUUUCUGUGCCCCUUAACCACAUCCAUCCUUCUGCGGGGUUCCUGCGUGGGCAUCGAGGAUUCCCAGCCAUGUCUCAGACUCCUAGGGACUAGUGGAAGGGACCUAAACCCACAUUUGAAGUAACCACUGUUUCCACCAUCAUGCUUCUCUCUGAUGUUUGCUAUCACUGAUCUAAUGCACAACUGUCUUUAAAACAUCUUUUGGUGUCUAUUUAUUGCACGUACUCUCCAGUGGAGGUGCAUUGCUGGGUUUGUGAUUGACAGUGUUAGUUAACACAAUAUUGUUUGUGCUUCCCGAUGGCUGGAGGAACACACAGCUGCCUCUGGGGUGGAUAUUGGCCUGUAUGAAUUUAAAAUGUAGGUUUCCAUGACUGACGUUUGCUUUCUGAGAACUCUGUUGCCCGUCAAAUUCAAUUGCUCAAAUGUCUGUGGGAAGCCAGUGGUGGUAUGUGAAUGUGGUCUCAGCAAAAUCAUUUAAAAAAAUGUAAACCAAUGUUCACUGUAGGAAAAAUGAAGCAUUUCUACAUUAUUUGGCUAGAAUGAGUGUUAGAAGUUCAUUUGAUCCUCUUUCUUUUUUUGUCAUCACAUUUUCAUGACUUUUUUUUUUUUUGUUUAUAUGGUAUUACAAUUCCUGUGGUCCCCAGAAAGAUCUUUAAUCGUCUAGACCAUAUAAGCAAUGAACAUUUAAUGCAAAAGCAAAGCUAUUGAUUUUGCACUUCAAAGUCACAGCUUUUCCCCCUAAAAAGUGUACCUUAAGAAGCUGCUACACUCCAUCCUCAUUCUCAGUCCAUCCACACCUCUGCUGCAGCUGGUAACCUAAUCACUAAAACGCUGCGCUUUAUUCGCGAAUGUGUGCAAAAACUGGCAUCAGCCCUGCACAGGCACCCCUCCUGUAACCCUGCUGGGAGGAGGUGCCAGAAUCCCUUGGGAUAGUUAGAGCCUGCUGAGCACAGGCUGUUUAUGAGCCUGAGCAUCCUUUUGGCCAGACUGCGUUGCCGCUGAAAGCCUCCCAAGGGAGCAGUGACAGAGGGGGCUCCCCCGGGGGACAGCAGUUCCCCUCGUGCCUGUGUUAGUCCCAGGCUUCCCAGGAGGCAGCAGAGCUGGCAGGAAUGCUGCUCUUCCGUGGCUCCUGCUGAUGCUGGUGGCCUGGAGUGCUUGCCGUUGCUGCGGGUCGGGCUCUCUGCUAUGCUCCGCUGACUUUUUGAAUUGUGAAUUUCUCCAUUCUUUGUACUUUGGCCAUCUGCAGCCCAGUCAAGCAUGUUCUCAUUCCUCUCGACACGCAGCGCUUAUUAUUCUUUGGCUUUUGAGUCUUCCUAAUUCUUUGGCCUCGGUGACACUUCGUGGAAAAGCGUUUGAGGAGAGAUUGUGUAGUCUGGCAUCUUUUUACCUGUUCCCUUGUAACAGUCUGAAAUAUUACCAGCUUUGAGUUUGCUUGAGCAUUGCCACGCUCACAUACUCUGAAAGAGGAAACAACUUGCUUGACCCAUGUGCUCUAGAUCAGCCAUUACUUUUAAGUGUGUCUCUCAAUUUCUCCCUCAUUUGUCUCUUAGCCUGCUCAGCUGUCCCACUGUGCUGUCUGGGGAGAGGGACUUACAGGCACGACCUUGUCUCGUUUCAUUACUUUGUUAGUUUUGGCAUUCUAUGUAUUUUUAAAUAUAGCUUUUCCUUUUAUAGGAUUAAGUAUUUCUGUUUUAAGAGCUUGUUGAAACACACAUUUCUCUGUUCUCCUAUCUUGGGCUCGGCAGCUGAUCAGCACAAGGCUGCAGACCAGAACUGACUUCUGGCUCCUUCACACACCAGUUAGAGGCGAUGCUGAAAUGGUUUGAGGUGGGAGAAGCUUCAGCUCAGUAUAAUUGCCAAGCUGAUCUAGCAAAUGUUGACUGGAUGCCAAAGAAGAUGCAAAGGGCUUGAGGUCCAGUCAGUCUGGUGGAUACAGUGUCGAAGUGGGUAUCACUGGGCAGC